UGCAAGCAACAUGAGUUUAUCUGUGUUUUUGGUUCAGCCAGCGGUCUGCCACCCUAAAAUGACUUCGUCGUAGCAUGUUCGUUUGACUUUAAUCUGUACCGGCUUCUACUUCUACAGUAUUUUGUCAUAGAUUGCAGCUGCAGCAGUCCGAACUGCUGACUUUAAUCCGAAGCGAACGACUCAUUUUACAUCUUCUCUGUUCUUCAUGCUUUAUGAGAAUGGGAAGCACUGGGAAAAGAACAUGAUCUUCAGCAGAAACACAAGGUAAUCUCUAAACAUUUUGAUUCUGCUAUCUAUAUUUUUAAAGAAAAUAGACAGGAACUCUUUUCAUUAUUACCUAUAAAGACGUGUGAAACAUCCUUCUUUUUUACUACUAAUCUAGCCACCCAAGACCUGUAAACAUAACUUAUGAAGCACCACAUCAUGGAUAUGAACUAGAGCUAAAACAUCUCUUUUGUUUGCUCUGUUGUGCUGAAGACUAUAGCUGGUAAGAUCAACAAGCAGUGAGAUUGUUUUAGGGAAUUCGGCUCUUUAUCGAGUGUCGAGCUAUUUACCGAGAGUUUUCUGGGCUGAAGCAUUCGGCAAAGUAGAUAUGUCUGAUAGUGUUUUGUUUUCUGGACUCAACAACCACGGCCCACGGUGCUGGACGGACGGACGGACAUUCUCGCAAGCACAUUUAAGCUUUGUUACCAUGUGUUAGAUUUUAAUUAAGUCUGAUUUGUUUUUAAUUCUAUUACAAUAAAAUAAACCACAUUGC
This 757-nucleotide long non-coding RNA is filed under the name Zea mays. Its description in RNAcentral is "long non-coding RNA (ZMAY_LNC000077)". The record is from RNAcentral. Lineage: Eukaryota; Viridiplantae; Streptophyta; Magnoliopsida; Poales; Poaceae.